UCCUCUUUACAGAGGCAGUUUGUUCCGAGUUCCCGACAUUACUCGCUGGCAACAGAACAUGAGGGUUGCGCUCGUUGCGGGACUUAACCCAACAUUUCACAACACGAGCUGACGACAGCCAUGCACCACCUGUGCACCACCUUCGAAAGCGACUGCUUUUCGGCAGCGUGCAGUUGCAUGUCAAGCCCUGGUAAGGUUCUACGCGUUGCAUCGAAUUAAGCCACAUGCUCCACCGCUUGUGCGGGCCCCCGCCAAUUCCUUUGAGUUUCAACCUUGCGGCCGUAGUCCCCAGGCGGUUCACUUAAUGCGUUAGCUGCGGCACCGAGGCUUACGCCCCAACACCUAGUGAACAUCGUUUAUGGCUAAGACUAC
RNAcentral lists this unclassified non-coding RNA (372 nucleotides) under uncultured bacterium. RNAcentral describes it as "contains 16S-23S intergenic spacer region". The record is from RNAcentral.